GCCUUGGUAGCUCAGUUGGUAGAGCAUGAGACUCUUAAACUUAGGGUCAUGGGUUUGAGUCCCAUGUUGGGCA
Non-coding RNA from Podarcis lilfordi (Lilford's wall lizard), 73 nucleotides. The record is from the annotation of a GenBank genome assembly. NCBI's taxonomy places the organism in Eukaryota, Metazoa, Chordata, Lepidosauria, Squamata, Lacertidae.